Non-coding RNA from Podarcis lilfordi (Lilford's wall lizard), 74 nucleotides. Lineage: Eukaryota; Metazoa; Chordata; Lepidosauria; Squamata; Lacertidae. The record is from the annotation of a GenBank genome assembly.
UCACCUUGGAAAUCAAGAGCGGGUGGGACCUGUGGAUUUAAGAGUAGGCGACCCACUCUUGGUUUCACAGGCCA